UAUAAGCUGCGGGGAAUUGUCAAACAAACUUUAAUCCGCAGAUCUCCGAAUGGGGAAACCCAACCAAUUUUUUGGUUAUUAUAUACUGAAUACAUAGGUAUAUAAGGCAAACCUGGUGAACUGAAAUAUCUAAGUAGCCAGAGGAAAGGAAAUCAAUAUGAGACUCCGUUAGUAGUGACGAGCGAAUGCGGAAUAGGCCAGCGAUUUAUAAUUUAUAAUUAGAAUACUUUGGAAAGAGUAGCCAAAGAGGGUGAUAGCCCCGUAUAGGUAAAAAAAUUAUAAAUACUCGAGUAGAGCGGGACACGUGAAAUCCUGUUUGAAUGUGGGGGGACCAUCCUCCAAGCCUAAGUACUCCUUAACGACCGAUAGUGAACAAGUACCGUGAGGGAAAGGUGAAAAGAACCCCGGUGAGGGGAGUGAAAUAGAUCCUGAAAUCAAGUGCCUACAAACAGUUGGAGCUUUAUAUUAAAAAGGGCAACUUUUUUAAUAUUAUAGUGACAGCGUACCUUUUGCA
Molecule: ribosomal RNA, 514 nt
Filed under: Anaplasmataceae bacterium
Lineage: Bacteria; Pseudomonadati; Pseudomonadota; Alphaproteobacteria; Rickettsiales; Anaplasmataceae
Description: partial large subunit ribosomal RNA
Rfam family: Bacterial large subunit ribosomal RNA
Source: RNAcentral